RNAcentral lists this transfer RNA (73 nucleotides) under Bos taurus (domestic cattle). It matches the Rfam family "tRNA". From Rfam's summary of the family: Transfer RNA (tRNA) molecules are approximately 80 nucleotides in length. The record is from Rfam by way of RNAcentral. Lineage: Eukaryota; Metazoa; Chordata; Mammalia; Artiodactyla; Bovidae. RNAcentral also lists the same sequence under 4 other names.
UCCCUGUUGGUCCAGAGGUUAAGACUCUGCACUUCCAAUGCAGGGGGCAUAGGUUCAAUUCCCGGUCAGAGAA